Bactrocera oleae (olive fruit fly) is the source of this 1068-nucleotide non-coding RNA. The record is from RefSeq and is a predicted model, not a curated record. NCBI's taxonomy places the organism in Eukaryota, Metazoa, Arthropoda, Insecta, Diptera, Tephritidae.
UCCUUCAUCGAUAUCGCGAUGUACGUGUACGUUGCUGUACUUUGCAUUGGAUGUUAAACCACGGAGUGCAGUGCACUGUUUAUUUACGCGCUUUAUAUGUUGUAUUUGUUAAUGUUCUUCUGGUUUAGCAGUAUUAGUAGCGAUUUGUAAAAGAAAUGAGUGAAAGGUAAAGAGAUUAUCCCAGCGGCGCUGAGAACAGAAAAAUUAAACAGAAAAGGGACGAGGUUAUAAAAAAAGUGCCCAAAAUUUCUUCAUUUUUUCAGAGACAAGAUACUGUGAGUGAUUUAGAUUGGAAAGAUUCUUCUGAAGCAUGUUCUUCGUCAAUUAUCCAUCCGGAAAUAGAAGAAAGCCAAGCACAUACUUUAUCGGAUGUCCAUCCAGAAAUCGAGGAACCCCAAGUCAACGAUUCUGAUAUAUCUGCAGAUUGUAAUAUAAUUUCAUCAGAUAGAGGAAAUUUUGGUGACAAUUUAACUAAAUGCGAACGAAAAAUAAUUUUUAAAUUAUGUCCAUUUAAACCACAAGGACCAUUUCCAAAAGUUUCAGAAACGAACCGACCUUUUUCGGCUUAUUAUAAUAUUAUUCAUAUUUCAAUCAGGCAGGCAUAAAAAUUAUAAGACCAUGGUUAUGUUAUUCUAACGUUUUAAACAAACCGUACUGUCACUUCUGUUGGUUAUUAGCAGAUCGUCAAAACAAAUCGUACUCCUCUGCUUGGGUUAACGGUGUUUCGGUUAGAAGCAAUUUCACACGAACUAUUCUUGACCAUGAAAAGUCACAGCAGCAUAUUAGUGCCUCACUCUCUUAUAAUAAUUGGUUGCAAGGAAAUACCAUCGAUACUCUAUUGAAAAGUGAAAUCGAUAGUAAAAUUACAUUCUGGAGAGAUGUACUGCAUCGUAUAAUUAAUGUUAUAAUUACUUUAGUAUCUUGUAAUCUACCUUUGAGGGGGCAUGAUUCUGAUUCUGGCAAUUUUAUGGCAAUUUCACGUCUGCUAUCUAACUAUGAUGCAACUUUAAAAGAACUUCUUCUAAAACCGAAAGGUGAAAUAAAUUAUUUAAGCCCUACGAUUCAAAA